GGCGUGCCUAAUACAUGCAAGUAGAACGCUGAAGAAAGGAGCUUGCUUCUUUUGGAUGAGUUGCGAACGGGUGAGUAACGCGUAGGUAACCUGCCUUGUAGCGGGGGAUAACUAUUGGAAACGAUAGCUAAUACCGCAUAACAGCUUUUGACACAUGUUAGAAGCUUGAAAGAUGCAAUUGCAUCACUACGAGAUGGACCUGCGUUGUAUUAGCUAGUAGGUAGGGUAACGGCCUACCUAGGCGACGAUACAUAGCCGACCUGAGAGGGUGAUCGGCCACACUGGGACUGAGACACGGCCCAGACUCCUACGGGAGGCAGCAGUAGGGAAUCUUCGGCAAUGGGGGCAACCCUGACCGAGCAACGCCGCGUGAGUGAAGAAGGUUUUCGGAUCGUAAAGCUCUGUUGUAAGAGAAGAACGUGUGUGAGAGUGGAAAGUUCACACAGUGACGGUAACUUACCAGAAAGGGACGGCUAACUACGUG
RNAcentral lists this ribosomal RNA (484 nucleotides) under uncultured bacterium. RNAcentral's name for it is "bacterial SSU rRNA". It matches the Rfam family "Bacterial small subunit ribosomal RNA", at positions 41 to 507 of the family's 1533-position model. The record is from RNAcentral.